RNAcentral lists this long non-coding RNA (1158 nucleotides) under Taeniopygia guttata (zebra finch). Its description in RNAcentral is "lncRNA (ENSTGUG00000028330.1)". The record is from RNAcentral. Lineage: Eukaryota; Metazoa; Chordata; Aves; Passeriformes; Estrildidae.
AUGGAACUUAAACACUGGGAUUCUGAGAGAGCAGUUACAGAUGGGAAAGAAGCAGGUGGAGCCUUGUGUUUCCUUUUCCUGCAGGCUGAACUCCUGAUAGCCAGAGGAGAGAGACCACAGCUGUGGCAGCCCAACCGAUUCUCACCUUCCCUGCAUGACUUCCUGAGCUGCUGCCUGCAGACAGACGAAGAGCAGCGCUGGUCUGCCAAGAGGCUCCUGCAGCAUCCAUUUGUAACAUCAGCUAAGCCAGCAUCCACCCUGGCACCACUCAUCAACUCAGUGAAGAAGAAGAAGAAGACAAGAAUGUAACAAUCAACUUAUCUCCAUAACCAAGUUAGAGUAGGAUUGUAGACUAGGACUCUAGAGUAGGAUUGUUGAGUAGUUUUGUAGUAUAGGUUUAUAAUAGAGUAGUAUUUUAAUUAAAUAAAAUUUCUCAAGCAUCAACUCCUUUGGAAGAUUCCCCUCCUUCUGACCCCUUCAGAAAAUUCAACAUUUCCUUCUGAAUUGCCAGUUGUCUUUUAUUGGUGCUAAGACAUGCUUGUGGCUUCUUUGGUAUGGUUUGUAAGUGGAGAAGGUUCUUCUUCAUUCAUCCUCUGCAGACCACACUGCCUUUGGAAUAUGGCCCACUGGCCCCUUUAGGUACAUCCGUGUCACUUUCAGUUGUGAAAAAUGCACAUAUUAUGAUUGGCUUUUUGCAAAUAUCACAAUGAAUAUUAUAUGUGUAAUGUUAGAAAGUUAUGCUGUAUUAAUUCUCUUAAGUAGUGUGUUAAAUAUAGUUUUAGGUUCCAACAUAAUGUUAAAAUAGAAACUAAGUAUGUGGGGGGAGUCUUUUUUUUUUUUUUUUAGGAAGGAGAUACUCGCUUUGAGGAACACCUAAAUCUUCCAAAGAAAAGGAAUUUAUGGUUUUCUUAUCAGAAGAAGCUAAUUUCUUCAGGCCUUGCUCAGGCUUGAAGAUGUCUUGGGGAUUAAAGGAAACAGUUGAUAUACAACAGACUAGAGUUCUUGUUUUAAAUAGAAUCUAUGCAUAACCAUGAAGGAUAUAUGACUAUGCAACAGGCUACUGCUUUUAAGGUUAUUCCUUUGUUGACAAGGCAUGCUUUUCAUGACUUAAUGUCCGAGAGCAUCCAGACGUCCAUAAUUCUUUGCUUUUUAUUGUCU